AUUGAACGCUGGCGGCAGGCCUAACACAUGCAAGUCGAGCGAGCGGCGGACGGGGGAGUAAUGUCUGGGAACCUGCCUGAUGGAGGGGGCUAACUACUGGAAACGGUAGCUAAUACCGCAUACCAUCAGAUGUGCCCAGCUGGGAUUAGCUAGUAGGUGGGGUAAUGGUUCACCUAGGCGACGAUCCCUAGCUGGUCUGAGAGGAUGACCAGCCACACUGGAACUGAGACACGGUCCAGACGCCUACGGGAGGCAGCAGUGGGGAAUAUUGCACAAUGGGCGCAAGCCUGAUGCAGCCAUGCCGCGUGUGGGAAGAAGGCCUUCGGGUUGGAAAGCACUUUCAGCGGGGAGGCGUUACCCGCAGAAGAAGCACCGGCUAACUCCGUGCCAGCAGCCGCGGUAAUAC
This 406-nucleotide ribosomal RNA is filed under the name uncultured bacterium. RNAcentral describes it as "partial 16S ribosomal RNA". It matches the Rfam family "Bacterial small subunit ribosomal RNA", at positions 29 to 526 of the family's 1533-position model. The record is from RNAcentral.